AUUAAAUAGAUUUUGGGGACUAAGAGUUGGAAUAGGAGCUUGCUCUGUCCACUCUAUGCAUCAACGUGGUAUUACAGUACUUCCAGUAAUGGUGCACC
RNAcentral lists this small nuclear RNA (98 nucleotides) under Cervus elaphus hippelaphus. It matches the Rfam family "U2 spliceosomal RNA", at positions 91 to 188 of the family's 192-position model. Rfam says of the family: U2 is a small nuclear RNA (snRNA) component of the spliceosome (involved in pre-mRNA splicing). The record is from RNAcentral. Lineage: Eukaryota; Metazoa; Chordata; Mammalia; Artiodactyla; Cervidae.